UACGUAGGGCGCAAGCGUUAUCCGGAAUUAUUGGGCGUAAAGAGCUCGUAGGCGGUUCGUCGCGUCGGCUGUGAAAACCCGGAGCUCAACUCCGGGCCUGCAGUCGAUACGGGCGGACUCGAGUUCGGCAGGGGAGACUGGAAUUCCUGGUGUAGCGGUGAAAUGCGCAGAUAUCAGGAGGAACACCGGUGGCGAAGGCGGGUCUCUGGGCCGAUACUGACGCUGAGGAGCGAAAGCGUGGGGAGCGAACAGG
RNAcentral lists this ribosomal RNA (253 nucleotides) under uncultured bacterium. Its description in RNAcentral is "partial 16S ribosomal RNA". It matches the Rfam family "Bacterial small subunit ribosomal RNA", at positions 524 to 776 of the family's 1533-position model. The record is from RNAcentral.